Molecule: long non-coding RNA, 1371 nt
Organism: Oryzias melastigma (Indian medaka)
Lineage: Eukaryota; Metazoa; Chordata; Actinopteri; Beloniformes; Adrianichthyidae
Exons: 2
Source: RefSeq, a predicted model, not a curated record
GGGUGGGGGGGUCCUUAUUGUUCCUUUAUCUCAGCACUGCAGGCAGCUUAAGCUCCAUAAAUCCUCCUCUGAACUGCAAAACAAACUGCUGCAGAUUUAACGUGUGUGUAGGUGUGUGUGUGUUAGUGAGAAAGAAAGAUUUUUUUCUACAAAUCUCUCUUUUUCUGUAAAUUGUUUGUUUCUAUAUUUAACUUAGGUCUUUUUUCUGUCAGUCAUAAGUGUUAGCAUUUUUUUGUGACGAUAUGUUUUAGGAAUUUUUUAAUGAGAAACAAAGGAGGAAAAUCCUUAAAGCCAGAAAAAAGUUUCAAAUACAACAAAAAAAAAUGUUUCUUAGAAAAAGUUUCCAGCCACAAAGAAAACAGCACUGCAGAGUCCAAUUCUGAGAUUCACAAGCAGGGAUUUCCAUCCUUACCUGUGUAAUGGGGAGGGCAUUAGGACCCAGGAGGUCGGUGGUCAGCUGCCCUCUCCCAUCGGAGAGUAGUUCCGGGGUUGCCAGGAACUGUAUAAAGGGCCCGGGGAAUGAUGCGUUUCCGUGUUUGACGUCACCGGCAGUGUUGUCACCAAAAGCAGCCCCACGGAGGAGAACAGCUGAAUGCAGGUAGCGCGGGAAGCCGCUCUCUUUUUAAAGUUUGAUCACGGCCGCAUGUUGACAUUCUAUCUGUACAGGGCCACCGUCAAGUCGACCUUGCCAUUUGUGUGUGCCCCCCGCCUUCGUCAUAAGCGUGCCACAAAGGCAGCGUAUGUGGAGCUUCCACACAGAUUUGUUUGGGAGAUUUGUCACCACUGGAGAACCCACAGAUGUCCACACGAUUGAACAGAGGAAGGGAUUUUUAAAUGUGAGUUAGAUCAGCUUUCCAAAUGUUUGUAUCGUUUGGUUCCUCACUGUGUUCUUAAAAUCUCUCUUGUUGUUUUUAGGAUGUAUUCAUGUGCUGUCAUGCCUGUCACUGUUUUUUUAUCCCCACUGCUCGCUUUUAUUUUUUUAUCUCUUUUAUCUUUUUUUAAUGUGUUUUGUUUGGGGUAUUUUUAACCCCUUUUUUACACUUGGCACUUUUAAACCUUAGCCGACGUUUUAGACAGUGGUUUUAAACAGUAACCUGGUGCUGUGCAGGAUUGUGGAUUUUAUUUGCUGUGCUGUCCUCUCGUUUUUAUUAAGCAUGUUGUUUUUUAUUUGAGGGACAAUUGUGUGUUUUUUUUAAAGUUAUCCUGUCACAGCCCAGCUCUUGAAAAAGCUACUGUGCGGCUCAGUUCCUUGUGUUUUAAUAAAUCUUUUUGCUACACCAGCUACUGCCUCAUCCAGUUAAUUCUGGAAGCCUGCCCUUAGUGUGUGUAGCUAGCACCCUUUCCUACCACAAGGGGUUGCUGACUACUACA